Molecule: ribosomal RNA, 442 nt
Filed under: uncultured bacterium
Lineage: Bacteria
Description: partial 16S ribosomal RNA
Rfam family: Bacterial small subunit ribosomal RNA
Source: RNAcentral
CCUACGGGGGGCAGCAGUGGGGAAUAUUGGGCAAUGGGCGCAAGCCUGACCCAGCAACGCCGCGUGAAGGAAGAAGGCUUUCGGGUUGUAAACUUCUUUUUAGAGGGAAGAGCAGACGACGGUACCUCUUGAAUAAGCCACGGCUAACUACGUGCCAGCAGCCGCGGUAAUACGUAGGUGGCAGGCGUUGUCCGGAAUCACUGGGUGGAACGGGAGCGUAGACGGCUGAGCAAGCCUGAAGUGAAAGGCGGGGGCCCAACCCCCGGACUGCGUUGGGUACUGUACGGCUAGAGUGCAGGAGAGGUAAGUGGAAUUCCUAGUGUAGCGGUGAAAUGCGUAGAGAUUAGGCGGAACACCAGUGGCGAAGGCGGCUUACUGGACUGUAACUGACGUUGAGGCUCGAAAGCGUGGGGAGCAAACAGGAUUAGAUACCCUGGUAGUC